ACGGCAGAUUACGGGCGCCCCCUGGCGGUGCUUCUGGAGACGGGGCUGCAGAGUCCGGACGACGGGCCGGUGCUGGAUCCUGAUUGGCCGAACGUCCUGAGGGCCGAGCUCCCCUUCUGGAACGGCUGUGAGCAGGAAGAUGUCUGCGUCCCCGACCUCAUCCUGCACAGCCACACCGACCUGAUGAGCGCUCAGCAGUUCUGCGGCUCCAGGGAGGGGGCGUCCUGGUCUCUGUGCAGCCAGCAGGGGGCGCCGCAAGGCUCGCUCCACGUGGUGGAGGCCGGUCGGAGGAGGGUGGUGGUGUUCGCCCGGCUGGAGAAUCAGGGAGAAAAUGCUUACGGAGCGUCCGUCCAAAUCUCCACCUCCUCCAACCUCCUGUUCUCCAGCCUCAUCGUCA
Long non-coding RNA from Notothenia coriiceps (black rockcod), 397 nucleotides. RefSeq lists it as uncharacterized. The transcript has 3 exons. Lineage: Eukaryota; Metazoa; Chordata; Actinopteri; Perciformes; Nototheniidae. The record is from RefSeq and is a predicted model, not a curated record.